RNAcentral lists this non-coding RNA (725 nucleotides) under Armadillidium nasatum. Lineage: Eukaryota; Metazoa; Arthropoda; Malacostraca; Isopoda; Armadillidiidae. The record is from RNAcentral.
GAAAGGUUUAAUCCUAGCCUUAGGGUUGAGGCAUAGGUGGUCCACAUGGAAUUUUAAGAGAGAGAUGAAUAAAGUAAAAAUUUUAAUAUUAGUUAUUAAGUCCCAGUGGUUAAAUUUGGGAAAUAAGCUAACCUUGAGCCAGUACUAUACCGAUAGAUUCAGUGCCAGCUGUCGCGGUUAGACUGAAGGUUUACAACUUAAAUUAAAGAAGAGGAAUAGAAUUGCUAAUCUGAGGGGCAGUAGUAAAAUAUUUACCUCUCUGGAUUCAUUAGUUACCCUCUAGAGACUAAGGAAUAAACAAGGAUUAGAUACCCUUCUAUUCUUAGGUAGAAAUUUCUUAAGGUAGUAGUUGGUAGGGUCUUGAAACCUAAAGGAUAUGGCGGUUUUUAAUAAAAUCAGAGGAAUCUGCCCUAUAAGCGAUACCCCCCGAUAAAUCUUACCUUUUUAGGUUUGUAUACCGUUGUCUAAACUUCUUAAAAAGAAGAAGUUAAGAUCAGUAAUCAGUAAGUCAGAUCCAGGCGCAGCUUUAAAAGGUAGAGGUGGGUUACAAUUUGUCAAAAUUGGAGAUAGAUUUUAAUAUUUUAACUAAAUAGGAUUUGAAAGUAAUUUUAGUUUAAUACGCUAAGAUGAGUAGCAACUUAAAUAUGUACAUAUCGCCCGUCACUCUCUAUCUCAGAGAUAAGUCGUAACAAAGUAGAUGUACCGGAAGGUGCCUCUUUAACCCA